UGCUGGGUGGAUUAGUGGCGAACGGGUGAGUAACACGUGAGUAACCUGCCCCUGACUCUGGGAUAAGCGUUGGAAACGACGUCUAAUACUGGAUAUGACUGCCGGCCGCAUGGUCUGGUGGUGGAAAGAUUUUUUGGUUGGGGAUGGACUCGCGGCCUAUCAGCUUGUUGGUGAGGUAAUGGCUCACCAAGGCGACGACGGGUAGCCGGCCUGAGAGGGUGACCGGCCACACUGGGACUGAGACACGGCCCAGACUCCUACGGGAGGCAGCAGUGGGGAAUAUUGCACAAUGGGCGAAAGCCUGAUGCAGCAACGCCGCGUGAGGGAUGACGGCCUUCGGGUUGUAAACCUCUUUUAGUAGGGAAGAAGCGUAAGUGACGGUACCUGCAGAAAAAGCACCGGCUAACUACGUGCCAGCAGCCGCGGUAAUACGUAGGGUGCAAGCGUUGUCCGGAAUUAUUGGGCGUAAAGAGCUCGUAGGCGGUUUGUCGCGUCUGCUGUGAAAUCCCGAGGCUCAACCUCGGGCUUGCAGUGGGUACGGGCAGACUAGAGUGCGGUAGGGGAGAUUGGAAUUCCUGGUGUAGCGGUGGAAUGCGCAGAUAUCAGGAGGAACACCGAUGGCGAAGGCAGAUCUCUGGGCCGUAACUGACGCUGAGGAGCGAAAGCGUGGGGAGCGAACAGGAUUAGAUACCCUGGUAGUCCACGCCGUAAACGUUGGGCGCUAGAUGUAGGGACCUUUCCACGGUUUCUGUGUCGUAGCUAACGCAUUAAGCGCCCCGCCUGGGGAGUACGGCCGCAAGGCUAAAACUCAAAGGAAUUGACGGGGGCCCGCACAAGCGGCGGAGCAUGCGGAUUAAUUCGAUGCAACGCGAAGAACCNUUACCAAGGCUUGACAUACACCGGAAACGGCCAGAGAUGGNUUGCCCCCUUGUGGUCGGUGUACAGGUGGUGCAUNGGUUGUCGUCAGCUCGUGUCGUGAGAUGUUGGGUUAAGUCCCGCAACGAGCGCAACCCUCGUUCUAUGUUGCCAGCGCGUUAUGGCGGGGACUCAUAGGAGACUGCCGGGGUCAACUCGGAGGAAGGUGGGGAUGACGUCAAAUCAUCAUGCCCCUUAUGUCUUGGGCUUCACGCAUGCUACAAUGGCCGGUACAAAGGGCUGCGAUACCGUAAGGUGGAGCGAAUCCCAAAAAGCCGGUCUCAGUUCGGAUUGAGGUCUGCAACUCGACCUCAUGAAGUCGGAGUCGCUAGUAAUCGCAGAUCAGCAACGCUGCGGUGAAUACGUUCCCGGGCCUUGUACACACCGCCCGUCAAGUCAUGAAAGUCGGUAACA
RNAcentral lists this ribosomal RNA (1329 nucleotides) under Curtobacterium citreum. RNAcentral describes it as "bacterial SSU rRNA". It matches the Rfam family "Bacterial small subunit ribosomal RNA", at positions 81 to 1419 of the family's 1533-position model. Lineage: Bacteria; Bacillati; Actinomycetota; Actinomycetes; Micrococcales; Microbacteriaceae. The record is from RNAcentral.